CCCUUAGAUGUUCUGGGCCGCACGCGCGCUACACUGAUGCAUGCAACAAGUCUUUUCCUUGGCCGAGAGGCCUGGGCAAUCUUUGAAUAUGCAUCGUGAUGGGGAUAGACGAUUGCAAUUAUUCGUCUUCAACGAGGAAUUCCUAGUAAACGCAAGUCAUCAGCUUGCAUUGAUUACGUCCCUGCCCUUUGUACACACCGCCCGUCGCACCUACCGAUUGAAUGGUCCGGUGAAAUCUCGGGACGGCGGCUUGGUCGCUUGCGUCCGACUGCUGAAACUUGAUUAAACCAUAUCAUUUAGAGGAAGGUGAAGUCGUAACA
RNAcentral lists this ribosomal RNA (320 nucleotides) under uncultured eukaryote. RNAcentral describes it as "partial 18S ribosomal RNA". It matches the Rfam family "Eukaryotic small subunit ribosomal RNA", at positions 1470 to 1796 of the family's 1831-position model. The record is from RNAcentral.